RNAcentral lists this ribosomal RNA (399 nucleotides) under uncultured bacterium. RNAcentral's name for it is "bacterial SSU rRNA". It matches the Rfam family "Bacterial small subunit ribosomal RNA", at positions 30 to 431 of the family's 1533-position model. The record is from RNAcentral.
AUUGAACGCUGGCGGCAUGCCUUACACAUGCAAGUCGAACGGCAGCACGGGAGCAAUCCUGGUGGCGAGUGGCGAACGGGUGAGUAAUAUAUCGGAACGUGCCCAGUCGUGGGGAUAACGUAGCGAAAGCUACGCUAAUACCGCAUACGAUCUAUGGAUGAAAGCGGGGGAUCGCAAGACCUCGCGCGAUUGGAGCGGCCGAUAUCAGAUUAGGUAGUUGGUGAGGUAAAGGCUCACCAAGCCGACGAUCUGUAGCUGGUCUGAGAGGACGACCAGCCACACUGGGACUGAGACACGGCCCAGACUCCUACGGGAGGCAGCAGUGGGGAAUUUUUGGACAAUGGGCGCAAGCCUGAUCCAGCAAUGCCGCGUGCAGGAUGAAGGCCUCGGUUGUAACGU